This 652-nucleotide ribosomal RNA is filed under the name uncultured Nocardioides sp. Its description in RNAcentral is "bacterial SSU rRNA". The stretch from base 1 to 493 matches the Rfam family "Bacterial small subunit ribosomal RNA", at positions 39 to 546 of the family's 1533-position model. The record is from RNAcentral. Lineage: Bacteria; Bacillati; Actinomycetota; Actinomycetes; Propionibacteriales; Nocardioidaceae.
CCGGCGUGCUUUACCCCAUGCAAGUCGAGCGGUAAGGCCUCUUCGAGGGGUACACGAGCGGCGAACGGGUGAUACCGUGAGCAACCUACCCUCAACUAUUGGGAUAAAGCCUCGGAAACGUGGGUCUAAUACCGAAUAUCAUCUCCUGCUUCAUGGUGGGGGGUUGAAAGUUCUGGCGGUUGGGGACGGGCUCGCGGCCUAUCAGCUUGUUGGUGGGGUAAUGGCCUACCAAGGCGUCGACGGGUAGCCGGCCUGAGAGGGCGACCGGCCACACUGGGACUGAGACACGGCCCAGACUCCCUACGGGAGGCAGCAGUAGGGAAUCUUCCGCAAUGGACGAAAGUCUGACGGAGCAACGCCGCGUGAGUGAUGAAGGUUUUCGGAUCGUAAAACUCUGUAGUAAGGGAAAGAACAAAGUAUGAGAGUAACUGCUACGUAACCUUUGACGGUAACCUAAACCCAGAAAAGCCACGAGGCUAAACUAACGUUAGCCAAGCAAGCCCGCCGGAUAAAAUAACCGUAACAGGUUAAGCAAAGGCCGCUAGGGUACACCGAGGAAAUUAAAAUAAGGGAAGACCGGUUAAAAAAGGCAAGACAGCCCGUGCCAAUAGACAUAGGGUACCCCAUAUAAUAAAAAAGCUAACCUUAGGUA